UACGUAGGGUGCAAGCGUUGUCCGGAAUUAUUGGGCGUAAAGAGCUUGUAGGCGGUUUGUCGCGUCUGCUGUGAAAUUUCGGGGCUCAACCCCGAACUUGCAGUGGGUACGGGCAGACUAGGGUGUGGUAGGGGAGACUGGAAUUCCUGGUGUAGCGGUGAAAUGCGCAGAUAUCAGGAGGAACACCGAUGGCGAAGGCAGGUCUCUGGGCCACUACUGACGCUGAGAAGCGAAAGCAUGGGGAGCGAACAGG
This 253-nucleotide ribosomal RNA is filed under the name uncultured bacterium. Its description in RNAcentral is "partial 16S ribosomal RNA". It matches the Rfam family "Bacterial small subunit ribosomal RNA", at positions 524 to 776 of the family's 1533-position model. The record is from RNAcentral.